RNAcentral lists this transfer RNA (65 nucleotides) under Dipodomys ordii (Ord's kangaroo rat). It matches the Rfam family "tRNA". From Rfam's summary of the family: Transfer RNA (tRNA) molecules are approximately 80 nucleotides in length. Their secondary structure includes four short double-helical elements and three loops (D, anti-codon, and T loops). The record is from Rfam by way of RNAcentral. Lineage: Eukaryota; Metazoa; Chordata; Mammalia; Rodentia; Heteromyidae.
GGUGGCUCAGUGGUAGAGUGCUUGCCUUGCAUGCAUGACAUCCUGGGUUCAAUUCCUCAGCACCA